Molecule: ribosomal RNA, 465 nt
Filed under: uncultured bacterium
Lineage: Bacteria
Description: partial 16S ribosomal RNA
Rfam family: Bacterial small subunit ribosomal RNA
Source: RNAcentral
GAUGAACGCUGGCGGCGUGCUUAACACAUGCAAGUCGACGGUUAAGCCCAGCUUGCUGGGUUGAUUAGUGGCGAAAGGGUUAGUAACACGGUAGUAACCUUCCCUUUACUCUGGGAUAAGCCUGGGAAAAUGGGUCUAAUAACGGGUAGGAGCGUCCACCGCAUGGUGGGGGUUGGAAAGAUUUAUCGGUUUUGGAUGGACUCGCGGCCUAUCAGCUUGUUGGUGAGGUAAUGGCUCACCAAGGCGACGACGGGUAGCCGGCCUGAGAGGGUGACCGGCCACACUGGGACUGAGACACGGCCCAGACUCCUACGGGAGGCAGCAGUGGGGAAUAUUGCACAAUGGGCGCAAGCCUGAUGCAGCGACGCCGCGUGAGGGAUGACGGCCUUCGGGUUGUAAACCUCUUUCAGUAGGGAAGAAGCGAAAGUGACGGUACCUGCAGAAGAAGCACCGGCUAACUACGUG